Molecule: ribosomal RNA, 253 nt
Filed under: uncultured bacterium
Lineage: Bacteria
Description: partial 16S ribosomal RNA
Rfam family: Bacterial small subunit ribosomal RNA
Source: RNAcentral
UACAGAGGUGGCAAGCGUUGUUCGGAAUUACUGGGCGUAAAGGGCGCGUAGGCGGCCUACUAAGUCAGACGUGAAAUCCCCCGGCUUAACCUGGGAACUGCGUCUGAUACUGGAAGGCUUGAGGAUGGGAGAGGGAUGUAGAAUUCCAGGUGUAGCGGUGAAAUGCGUAGAUAUCUGGAGGAAUACCGGUGGCGAAGGCGGGUCUCUGGGCCGAUACUGACGCUGAGGAGCGAAAGCGUGGGGAGCGAACAGG